CCUACGGGAGGCAGCAGUGGGGGAUAUUGGACAAUGCGGGGAACCCUGAUCCAGCGACGCCGCGUGAGUGAAGAAGUAUUUCGGUAUGUAAAGCUCUGUCAGCAGGGAAGAAAGAAAUGACGGUACCUGACCAAGAAGCCCCGGCUAACUACGUGCCAGCAGCCGCGGUAAUACGUAGGGGGCAAGCGUUAUCCGGAAUUACUGGGUGUAAAGGGAGCGUAGACGGUUAAGUAAGUCUGGAGUGAAAGGCCGGGGCCCAACCCCGGGACUGCUCUGGAAACUAUUGAACUUGAGUGCAGGGGAGGUAAGCGGAAUUCCUAGUGUAGCGGUGAAAUGCGUAGAUAUUAGGAGGAACACCAGUGGCGAAGGCGGCUUACUGGACUGUAACUGACGUUGAGGCUCGAAAGCGUGGGGAGCAAACAGGAUUAGAUACCCUUGUAGUC
RNAcentral lists this ribosomal RNA (443 nucleotides) under uncultured bacterium. Its description in RNAcentral is "partial 16S ribosomal RNA". It matches the Rfam family "Bacterial small subunit ribosomal RNA", at positions 338 to 795 of the family's 1533-position model. The record is from RNAcentral.